CACCACAGAGCCCCAAGUAACCACCACACAGACUCACCACAGACUCCCCACAGAGACUCACCACAGAGCCCCAAGUUUGUGAGGAGAAGACCGGUUUGGAGGCUGAGGCAGUGUGUGAAACAGCACCCCUGUGUGGAGAGGCAUGAUAACUACACCUUCCCCAACCAGGACAGUGGGGACUGACUGACACACACACUUUCCCUCUGAGAGACCAGGCACCUGUUAGCACCAAAACACCUUUUAGACAGAACUAUUUUAUUAAAUCUUUUUAAACUGUGUGAUUCUUAUACGUGUGUGUGUGUGUGUGUUGAAAUACUGCAGUGUAUAUUGUGUAAUGUAAAGCUUCUUGUGUGUUAGCUGCUGUAAGUUCCUCUGUAUCACC
RNAcentral lists this long non-coding RNA (382 nucleotides) under Salmo salar (Atlantic salmon). RNAcentral's name for it is "lncRNA (ENSSSAG00000085453.1)". Lineage: Eukaryota; Metazoa; Chordata; Actinopteri; Salmoniformes; Salmonidae. The record is from RNAcentral.